This 92-nucleotide microRNA precursor is filed under the name Marmota monax (woodchuck). The record is from RNAcentral. Lineage: Eukaryota; Metazoa; Chordata; Mammalia; Rodentia; Sciuridae.
AGUGGGAUAGCUGGGUCAAAUGGUGGUUCCAUUUCAAGUUUUCCAUACUGCUUUCCAGAUUGGCUGCACCAAUUUGCAGUCCCACCAGCAAU